GUCCACGGAGGAUAGAGGAAGCCGUCACCACGCGGCUGAUCGAGAAAUUCUCG
Molecule: non-coding RNA, 53 nt
Filed under: unclassified sequences
Description: leuA-Halobacteria RNA
Rfam family: leuA-Halobacteria RNA
Source: RNAcentral